UACGUAGGGGGCAAGCGUUGUCCGGAUUCAUUGGGCGUAAAGAGCGUGUAGGCGGCCAGGUAGGUCGGUUGUGAAAACUGGAGGCUCAACCUUCAGAGGUCGACCGAAACCAUCUGGCUAGAGUCCGGGAGAGGAGAGUGGAAUUCCUGGUGUAGCGGUGAAAUGCGCAGAUAUCAGGAGGAACACCGGUGGUGUAGACGGCUUACUGGACCAUAACUGACGCUGAGGCACGAAAGCGUGGGGAGCAAACAGG
This 253-nucleotide ribosomal RNA is filed under the name uncultured bacterium. RNAcentral's name for it is "partial 16S ribosomal RNA". It matches the Rfam family "Bacterial small subunit ribosomal RNA", at positions 524 to 776 of the family's 1533-position model. The record is from RNAcentral.